This 713-nucleotide non-coding RNA is filed under the name Ibidoecus plataleae. The record is from RNAcentral. Lineage: Eukaryota; Metazoa; Arthropoda; Insecta; Psocodea; Philopteridae.
UAAAAACUAGCCACAAGGGAGUUUCAUCUUGGAGAAUAUGGCUGGGUUAAAUAUUUACUCUGUUGUAAACCAUAGUAUUGCAUAAAUGAGUCUCAGUUGCAGGUUAUAUUCUGUAGUCAGCACAAACAAGUGCCAGCACGCGCGGUCACACUUGUUGACUUUCUCAAGAUGUUCUUUCCAUGAAUAUAACAGUAUCAAAAGGGUUAAAUUGUCAGUGAAAUGAAAUUUAUCUCAAAAUUUUUACCAGUAACUUAUAAUUAGGUUUGAAGAGAAACUAGGAUUAGAUACCCUAUUAUCCAAAAGUAGUUCGUCGUGGAAAGAGUAGGCUUUAAUAAUGCUAAAAAUUACACUUGUGUGACGGCUUAGUUUCUACUAAUUAGAGAAGAAUGCUACUGAAAUAGAAACUACGCUACAACCUUACUUAAACCUUCUUGUACACAGCCGUCGGAAGUCGAAGCGGUAACAUUUCGUCUUUGCUGGGUAACACCAGAGUAAGUCAGGUCAAUGUGCAGACCAUGUUUAAGAGUUGGUGUUCUUCUAUAAGUAAAUUUAUGGAUCUUUACUUGAAACUGGUAUAGACAAAAAGAAUUUAAAAGUAAAAUUAGCUCACUAUGCUAUUUUGAAUUAGUACUGCUAAGUGUACAAAUUGCCCGUCAAUCCAUAAGAGGAUAAGUCGUAACAAAGUUAAUCCACUGGAAAGUGGAUUAGGAGUU